CAUGGCAGGUCGGCUGAGCACGCCCAGCUCCACAGGCAACUCAGAGCCACAUGUAGCUCAGAAAGAUUUAAACGCGCAGCUUUCUUGCACUGGCAGCAUUUUCACAUUUCCCCUUUCUUCAGUUUUUCUACAUUACUUGAAGUGACUCUUAUGCUUACCUCAACACUGUGCUUUGAAGAAAAAUAUGGGGGAGAGGAGGAGGUACCCAAUGUGUCACCAGGGGCAACCUGCAUUUGAUGGGAAGCUGCUGGGCCCAACGGCAUCUGCUAUGUACAAAAUACUUUGAUCAUUCAAGUUCCCUAUGCUAGACGGCCCUCUACCCAUCAAACUGCGGUGUGCUCAAGAGAACAACCAGAAAAAUCACAACAGAAAAUUGAACGAACGUUCUUCUACUUCCACAUGCUUCCACAAUCCUCUCCCAAAAUUCCCAGAAAAAGAAAAUCCAGUUCUUCUCCAACUUCACCCUUAUCACCUCAGGAAGAAAAAGCAGGCUCCAAUGCAGGAGCUGGAAAGAGCCUGACUUGGACAAGAGGAACUGCAAGAUGUAGGAAUGUGUGACUUUUGUGUGGCCCUGCCCUUAUUUAUAAACCUCCUUACUGUGCUUCAUCUCAAGUUUCUGAAGAGGUAUGAAUUGUGUUUAAUUAAAGCUAGAGUGAUGGAAGUGGACAGAGUUAUUUCAAGGCUGUUCACACAUCCUUAGCCCCUCUUAUCAAGCUUUCAGAGCUCUAUUUUAAAAGGUUAGGGGGGUGGUAGGAGGCAAUUAUGUCUCUUCUCUAACAGCUGCCAGAGAUUACUGCCGUCAGAGUAAUUAUCACCAAAUAAUUGUCCCCUUUCUUUCCUGCUGAUGGGGCAGAGACUCAACUGAAGUAGAUUUUGUAUUUGCUGAAUACAAGUUGGGUAGCUAAGGUCAACAAGCAUCCAUGGAGUAUUUAUUUCAGCAUUAUACCUGUUGACCACAGCAAAAAAUUAAAAUUCAUUUGUUACCGAAGAGAAAGCCAUCAAAUGUCCCUUCCCUAAGAUCAUGCAGAUUUCUUGAAUUUGAAUAACUGGAGUUGAAAUAAAUGUUUAUUUUAGCCUAAAAUAAAUCAGUCUCUGCUGAGGAUGAAUUCCAG
Long non-coding RNA from Chinchilla lanigera (long-tailed chinchilla), 1112 nucleotides. Ensembl lists it as uncharacterized. The record is from Ensembl. NCBI's taxonomy places the organism in Eukaryota, Metazoa, Chordata, Mammalia, Rodentia, Chinchillidae.